Molecule: ribosomal RNA, 253 nt
Filed under: uncultured bacterium
Lineage: Bacteria
Description: partial 16S ribosomal RNA
Rfam family: Bacterial small subunit ribosomal RNA
Source: RNAcentral
UACGAAGGGGACUAGCGUUGUUCGGAAUUACUGGGCGUAAAGCGCACGUAGGCGGCUUUGUAAGUCAGGGGUGAAAUCCCGGGGCUCAACCUCGGAACUGCCUUUGAUACUGCAAAUCUCGAGUCCGAUAGAGGUGGGUGGAAUUCCUAGUGUAGAGGUGAAAUUCGUAGAUAUUAGGAAGAACACCGGUGGCGAAGGCGGCCCACUGGAUCGGUACUGACGCUGAGACGCGAAAGCGUGGGGAGCGAACAGG